AGUGAACGCUGGCGGUAGGCCUAACACAUGCAAGUCGAACGGCAGCACAGUAAGAGCUUGCUCUUACGGGUGGCGAGUGGCGGACGGGUGAGGAAUACAUCGGAAUCUACUUUUUCGUGGGGGAUAACGUAGGGAAACUUACGCUAAUACCGCAUACGACCUACGGGUGAAAGCAGGGGAUCUUCGGACCUUGCGCGAUUGAAUGAGCCGAUGUCGGAUUAGCUAGUUGGCUGGGUAAAGGCCCACCAAGGCGACGAUCCGUAGCUGGUCUGAGAGGAUGAUCAGCCACACUGGAACUGAGACACGGUCCAGACUCCUACGGGAGGCAGCAGUGGGGAAUAUUGGACAAUGGGCGCAAGCCUGAUCCAGCCAUACCGCGUGGGUGAAGAAGGCCUUCGGGUUGUAAAGCCCUUUUGUUAGGAAAGAAAAGCAGCAGGUUAAUACCCCGCUGUUCUGACGGUACCUAAAGAAUAAGCACCGGCUAACUUCGUG
RNAcentral lists this ribosomal RNA (492 nucleotides) under uncultured bacterium. Its description in RNAcentral is "partial 16S ribosomal RNA". It matches the Rfam family "Bacterial small subunit ribosomal RNA", at positions 29 to 507 of the family's 1533-position model. The record is from RNAcentral.